UCUCCGUUGGUGAACCAGCGGAGGGAUCAUUACAGGGUUGCAAAACUCCCAAACCAUUGUGAACGUUACCUAUCCCGUUGCUUCGGCGGGCGGCCCGGGCCCCGCGCCCGGCGCCCCCCGGCCCCCCGUGGGCGCCCGCCGGAGGUAAACCAAACCCUUGAAUUGCAUGGCCUCUCUGAGUCUUCUGUACUGAAUAAGUCAAAACUUUCAACAACGGAUCUCUUGGUUCUCGCAUCGAGAAGAACGCAGC
RNAcentral lists this unclassified non-coding RNA (250 nucleotides) under plant metagenome. Its description in RNAcentral is "partial contains small subunit ribosomal RNA, internal transcribed spacer 1, and 5.8S ribosomal RNA". The record is from RNAcentral.